This is a non-coding RNA of Facklamia hominis, 184 nucleotides long. It matches the Rfam family "6S / SsrS RNA". Rfam says of the family: E. coli 6S RNA was the first non coding RNA to be sequenced, but its function was unknown until recently. It consists of 184 nucleotides that fold into an extended hairpin structure with a large single-stranded internal bulge. Lineage: Bacteria; Bacillati; Bacillota; Bacilli; Lactobacillales; Aerococcaceae. The record is from Rfam.
AUACAUCUGAAGUGUUCGAGAAUAUUUACACUGUGUUGACCGAACAUUUUUUAAUUGGGAUCCUAUGAGCAGCUUUGUCUGACAAGCCAUCGCAUGUGGACGUCAUUAGAAGACUGUGUGGAGCCCACCUGAUUGCUAGCGGGUUCAACCUAGCUUUAUUGAUACGGCACGAUACGGAUGUAUU